UUCCUGGACGAGGUAGAGGCCUUCUGAGA
This 29-nucleotide non-coding RNA is filed under the name Mus musculus (house mouse). Lineage: Eukaryota; Metazoa; Chordata; Mammalia; Rodentia; Muridae. The record is from RNAcentral.